GAUCUAGUGUCCGAACUGUUACCGUAUGGUAUGCGUUUCUGAGGUUCCUCAGAAUAGGCACUAGAUCGAAC
Molecule: non-coding RNA, 71 nt
Filed under: unclassified sequences
Description: DUF3800-IX RNA
Rfam family: DUF3800-IX RNA
About the family: Actinobacteria, Firmicutes (1 example), Nitrospirae, Proteobacteria, Verrucomicrobia (1 example). Nearby to DUF3800
Source: Rfam by way of RNAcentral